Molecule: transfer RNA, 74 nt
Filed under: Candidatus Levybacteria bacterium RIFCSPHIGHO2_12_FULL_38_12
Lineage: Bacteria; Candidatus Levyibacteriota
Also listed under: 1 other name
Description: tRNA-Gly
Rfam family: tRNA
About the family: Transfer RNA (tRNA) molecules are approximately 80 nucleotides in length. Their secondary structure includes four short double-helical elements and three loops (D, anti-codon, and T loops). Further hydrogen bonds mediate the characteristic L-shaped molecular structure. tRNAs have two regions of fundamental functional importance: the anti-codon, which is responsible for specific mRNA codon recognition, and the 3' end, to which the tRNAs corresponding amino acid is attached (by aminoacyl-tRNA synthetases). tRNAs cope with the degeneracy of the genetic code in two manners: having more than one tRNA (with a specific anti-codon) for a particular amino acid; and 'wobble' base-pairing, i.e. permitting non-standard base-pairing at the 3rd anti-codon position.
Source: RNAcentral
GCGGGUGUAGUUCAAUGGUAGAACACCACCCUUCCAAGGUGGAUGUGGCAGUUCGAUUCUGCUCACCCGCUCCA